AAUGAACUGAAACAUCUUAGUAAUUAAAGGUAAUAUAAACUAACAAGGAACUAUAAUAGUAAUGGUGAGUGAAAUUAUAGUAAAGCUUACAAGUAAUAUAUAAUAUAAAGUAUAUAUGAAUAUAGUGUAACUAACACUAAAGCUAUAAUAAUAUAAUAUAAGUUAAUAGUACUGAAAAGGAAGAUAUACAAUCAGUUAAUCUAUAAGCAGAUAUAAUAUAUUUAUUAUAUAAUAAAUAUAUAACUAUCGUACCUUUUGUAUAAUGGGUUAGCAAGUAUAUAAUAAUUGUAAGAUAUAAAUAAAUAUAUCAUAAAGUGAAAACGAUGGUAUAACAACUAAUAAAAUAUAUAUAUAAAUAUAUAUAUUAAAAUAAUUAUUAUAUGACCCGAAACCAUAUGAUCUUAUCAUGUGCAAGUAUAUAUUAAUAUCAAAUUUAAUAUAUGACUGAAUUGGUUGGUGUUGCAAUACCAUCAAAUGAUGUGUGAUAAGUAGUGAAAGACAAAUCUGAUAUGGAAAUAGCUGGUUUACUACGAAAUAUAUUUUAGUAUAGCUAUGUUAUAAUAUUAUUAUAAGGUAUAGUAAUUAAAUAAUACUAUAUAUUUAAAUAUUUUAAAUAUAUAUUAUAUAGGCAGAUAAAUUUAUCUUUACUAUUAUUAUUUAACCUCAGAAAUUAUAAUAAUUAAAAACAUAAGUCAGACUAUAUGUGAUAAGGUAUAUAGUCUAAUGAGAAACAGCUCAGUACAAAUUUAAAUACCAACCGAGUCCUUUAGGGCUAAGGAUGGCAAGCAUAAAGGUUCUUAAUAUAUAUGUAAUAGGAAAUAAUAUAAAAUUUUAUAAUACACAAUAUGUUAGUAGGUUUGAUAGUAACCAUCUUAUAAUGAUAGUGUAACAACUCACAUAUAGAUAUAUAUUUAUAAAAUUUAUAGUAAAUUUAUGGACCUAACAUAUAAACCGAUAAUUUGUAUAUAUUUAUAUAUUAUUUAUAUAAUAUAUAAAUUAUAUGGUAGUAGUACAACUAAUGAAAAUAUAUAUAUAUAAAUAUUAAUAUAUAUAUUAUAAUUAUAAAUUAAUUAUAAAGUAAUUAGUAUGAUAAUGCUAACAUGAGUAACGUAGAAAUAUAGUAUUAAUAUUAUAUAUAAUAUAUAUAUAUAAUAUAAAAUCUAUAUCAUCAUACACAUAAGGUAUAAGUAAUAAUACAGUUCUUAAGCUUAAAUCUGAAAGGAUAAAGUAAUAGAUAUAUUAAAUAUAUUAAAAGAUACUAUAAUAUAAAUUAUAUUAAAGUAAUAGUAGUAACAGGAAGAGUUAAUAUAUAAAAUACUGUACCAUAUUCCGACACAGGUGUGUGUAAAGAUGUAUUAGUUAAUUGUAGUUAAUGAACUCGGCAAAAAAUACUCUAUAACAUUUGAUAUAUAGAGUAAUAUCAUAUUUUAAUUAUAUAAAAUAUAAUAUAAAUAUUGAUAUAAUAAUAAAUAUAAAUAGUGCAACUGUUUACUAAAAACACAGCACGAUGCAGCUACUUAAAGUAUAAGUAUAUUGUGUGAGCUCUGUCCAAUGGUGAUAUGAUAAAAAUAUAAUAUAUUAUUGUAUUAUAUAUAAUAGUCACUCAAUGACAGUCUUAUCGUGAGGAUUAUAAUGUAGCGAAAUUCCUUGUCCACUAAAUAUGGUCCUGCAUGAAUGGUAUAAUGAUGCUAUAACUGUAUCGACUACAAGCUAAGUGAAGUUGAAUUGGUAGUGAAGAUGCUAUCUACCCAUAGUAAGACAGGAAGACCCUAUACAGCUUUACUAUAUAUAAUAGAUUGAUUAAUAUAUAAUAUUAUAUAGUUUAAGUUAUAACUUUAUAACUAUUUAAUCAUUAAUAUUAUCUUAACUAUAAUAAUUUAUAUCAUAUAUUAUUAUAAUAUAAAUAUUUAUUUAUAUUAUAACUAUAUAUAGUAUAUAUAUAUCAUAUAUAUAUAAUAUAUGAUAUAAUAUAUAUAAUAAAUAUAUAUAUAUAAUAUAUAUAUAUAUAUAAUAUAUAUAAUAAAUAUAGUGACAUUCAUUGUAUGAUAGUUUGAGUGGGGCGCUCUCUUCAUAAAGAGUAACUGAAGAGUCUAUAGUAUAUAAUAAAUUAUAUUAUUUAUAUAAUAAUAUAUAGUAUAACUAUAUAAAAAAUAAAAUAUAUAUAUUAAUAUAUAUUAAAUAAUAGAUUAAUUAUAUGUAAUUAAAUUAGUAUAGAAACUAAUAUGUAUGAUAAAUAGUACUAAUAAAUAUAAAUUUUAUUUAUAUUUAAAUAUUAAGUAUAAUAGCAUAAUUACAUAGAAAUUAUUAGAUGUACAUAUCAAAUAAGCACGUAAGUGUAGUAUAAAGAACAAAUUAAGCAAUUAGUAUAGCAUAUUGAUUACGAAUUAAAGUUACGUUAGGGAUAACAGGCUGAUAUUACGAGAGAGUACAUAUUGUAAGUAAUGUUUGGCACCUCGAUGUCGACUCAACUUAUCCUACUGGUUGUAGUAGCUAGUAAGGGUUAGACUGUUCGUCUAGUAAAAAGUUACGUGAGUUGGGUUAAGUACGUCGUGAGACAGUACGGUUCUUAUCUGCUAUGGGAUUUGUGUUAAGUCAGGUCGUAUAAUUAGUACGAAAGGAUUAUUAUAUGCAGUAUCCAUGGUUACUAUGUGAUAACUAUAUAAUAUAAAUUAUUACUAUAAUUAUAGUUACAUAUAUUAGCUAAAUAUGUUAAAUAUUUAAAUUUAUAUAUUAUAAAUUUAAAUGAUAAAUGCUGAUAGACUAUCAAGCAUGAAUCGUUCCUGAUUAAACACAUUAUUAGUGUUAAAGACUAUAACAUAAUAUAUAUAUUUAUAUAAAAUAUAUAUUAUAGUUACAUAUUUUAUGAUAUGGUACACUAAUUUUAUAUUUAUUGUAUAAUCUCUUAUUUAUAAUAUUUUUACAUAUUAUAAUAUUCAACACUUUAUUAUUUUU
RNAcentral lists this ribosomal RNA (2952 nucleotides) under Blastobotrys adeninivorans. The stretch from base 1 to 2601 matches the Rfam family "Bacterial large subunit ribosomal RNA". Lineage: Eukaryota; Fungi; Ascomycota; Dipodascomycetes; Dipodascales; Trichomonascaceae. The record is from RNAcentral.